CCUGGUGGCUCAGAGGGUAAAGCGUCUGGCUGCAAUGCGGGAGACCCAGGUUCGAUCCCUGGGUCAGGA
This is a non-coding RNA of Bos taurus (domestic cattle), 69 nucleotides long. The record is from Rfam. NCBI's taxonomy places the organism in Eukaryota, Metazoa, Chordata, Mammalia, Artiodactyla, Bovidae.